Molecule: ribosomal RNA, 402 nt
Filed under: uncultured Acetobacteraceae bacterium
Lineage: Bacteria; Pseudomonadati; Pseudomonadota; Alphaproteobacteria; Acetobacterales; Acetobacteraceae
Description: bacterial SSU rRNA
Rfam family: Bacterial small subunit ribosomal RNA
Source: RNAcentral
UGGGGAAUAUUGGACAAUGGGCGGAAGCCUGAUCCAGCAAUUCCGCGUGGGUGAAGAAGGUCUUCGGAUUGUAAAGCCCUUUCGGCGGGGACGAUGAUGACGGUACCCGCAGAAGAAGCCCCGGCUAACUUCGUGCCAGCAGCCGCGGUAAUACGAAGGGGGCUAGCGUUGCUCGGAAUUACUGGGCGUAAAGGGCGCGUAGGCGGCGCAGUUAGUCAGGCGUGAAAUUCCUGGGCUCAACCUGGGGACUGCGCUUGAUACGGCUGUGCUUGAGGAUGGAAGAGGCUCGCGGAAUUCCCAGUGUAGAGGUGAAAUUCGUAGAUAUUGGGAAGAACACCGGUGGCGAAGGCGGCAAGCUGGUCCAUUACUGACGCUGAGGCGCGACAGCGUGGGGAGCAAACA